GCGCAACAACAGCAAGUACGUCCCGCUCUGAUACCACCUGUCACAGGAUGAGUAUUUUGCGCAGCUAACCCGUGCGGCACUUAGACAAUUUGCCAAAGGUUGUUAAGUAAGCCUUGAGCUUCUCGAACUAGAGAAGAAAGCAAUGAAGCCAAAUGAAGAACUUGUAUUGCACUAAAGAGAGAUUUACAAUGCUUGAGUUGC
Molecule: long non-coding RNA, 201 nt
Filed under: Nicotiana benthamiana
Lineage: Eukaryota; Viridiplantae; Streptophyta; Magnoliopsida; Solanales; Solanaceae
Description: long non-coding RNA (NBEN_LNC037446)
Source: RNAcentral